Molecule: microRNA precursor, 105 nt
Filed under: Canis lupus familiaris (dog)
Lineage: Eukaryota; Metazoa; Chordata; Mammalia; Carnivora; Canidae
Description: mir-8834 microRNA precursor family
Rfam family: mir-8834 microRNA precursor family
Source: Rfam by way of RNAcentral
AGGAGCAACAGCCCCAGUGGCGGGGCCAGCUCUGGAAACCUGGAUUCAGCUCAGGCAGGAAUUCCGGAGCUCUCCGUCUGCAGGGCCUGGAGGCUCCGGGGCGGG